UGGAUGGAUAACUCUGCUUGCCACAUCCUUUUAGGGUUUGUUUUUUUUUUUUAAUUGGUUCAGGUUUUUUUAUAAGAAGGCAAUAAAGAGAAAUAUAAAAGAUCUACAUUGCCAAAUUGAGUCCUAGUUAAGUAAUAAAUGGGAUUUUUCUCUCAUUUGAAAGAGCUGAGAGUUAGGUGCCUUCCCUAACUGUCAGCAACCCGGAGAUGCUGGGGAGCUGUGGUCAGUGACUGGCCCAGCAACCUUCACACGCGAUUCCCAGCGCUCACCUUAAUUGGAUGCGCUGUUAAUCCCUGUUCACUAACACGACCUGAAUGCACAGAUAAGUAAACACAUUCUUCCCAGAGGGUGCAAUCAUUUUUUAAUCUACUUUCUCUGCGGUAGGCCAUGGUUCCAGAGAGACUGCUUGAGAAUUAAAUUUCUCUUAAGAGAAAAAUAAGCAAAACUGGCCUCAAGAUUUUUCCUCCUGAUCAGUAAAGUCACAGGAAGGAAAGAGAAAGGGGAACAAGAGGGCUCAGAAAAAGCAGUGAAUGACACCAGCUAUGGACAAAACACAAAUACCCAGAAUUUAGAUACUUACCCAUAGUCAACUAUUGGCUACAGGGUAUAAAAGAUAUGAGGCUUUAUUGGACAGAAUGCAAAAGACUUCAAGAUGUUAGUGAUUCAAAAGCAGGUGCUCAUGGAAAUCACCCAGAGAGCUUCUGAAGCCCCAUCCCAGGUUGUAAUUUCCAGGAAUAUGUAGGAAGAAAAUACAUGCCAGUCUCCCUGGGGAAAAGUCCGAUUUUAUACCUUUUAGAUAACAAUUCGUGCCUGUUAAUUAUUUUUAACUUCCCCUUUUAUGCCUUAAGUAUCCUAGUUUGGGUGGUGAAAGGUAGAGUGUAUUAGAACAAGGGAAACUCAGGAAAAUUGAGUAACUCACCAAAAUGGCCUAACACUCACCUUAAAUACCAUCUAUAGAUAAAUGGGGGUAGUAGUUUGGGACUUCUAAGGGAAGGAAGGCCAGUGUUUGGUAAAUAAAUAUUUGCUGGACCAUGCAGAGCCAAUAGGAGGCAGGUGGACUCUGACUGCUGGGCCCCGCUGAGUUUUCCCCACCACAACUAGCACAUAUUUUUUAUAGAUGUGAUGGUUCUAUUUCAGAACAUAUCCUCUGUGUAAAUUGUUUUAGGCAGUUAGGGGGAAGGUCAAAGUCUCCUCUAAGUCUUUUGGGCCUUGACUGUUUUCAGCUCAAAAUAACCAUCAUGCCAAAGAAACAUUUGGGGGUGGCAAAUUUCAUUUCCCCGAAAAAAUGUCAGUCAGAACCAUCUCAAUCCAAUAUUCAAGCUUCAGUUGUGUGAAAACUUCCAAUAACAAGCACGGGAGAACCUUAAUUCCUUUCCUCUUGGAAACCCCCAGGUCAGGGUCCACACUGCCACUUUCUACCCUGCUACACGCUCUGAAUACCAAGGAGGUCUUAAGAAGAGUGGCCUUUGACAAACCACCAAAAAUUUCCUGUGCAACUCUGUGUCCAGAAUGCUGGCUGCAUCCUCCCUUUUCCUUUACAUUUAAUUAUCUAAAGGGGGCCAACCAAAUAUCCCCGUGCAAAACAGCAGUUUCAACAAACAUCUCUGGAGAAGCUCUUGCAUCUUCUCAAUGAUUGCUUCCUCCACUAAAGUUCUGACCAAAUAAGCACUGCCAGAUAAAUACAGGGAACCCAGUUAAACCUGAAAAGCAGAUAAACAACAAUUUCUUUUUAGUAUAUGAAUGUCCCAUGUAAUAUCUGGGAUAUACUCAGACUAAAGACAGUAUUCCUUGCUUCUCUGAAAUUGACAUUGAACCAGAUGUUCCGUAUUUUUGUGUGCCUCAUCUGGCAGUCAUAAACUACCUGACAGCUCUACCACCAUAUACAGUACUCAGUCACACCCAUUCAUCUGGUCCAAGUUCACACCAAAGGAGGAGCAGAACCAGAGUCUGUGCAGCUCAAGGUUAGAUAGCAAACAUGUUUUACUCUGACUUAUGGAUGACAAUGGUUAUUAUGAAUAAGAUGGUGUUGGGCUGCACCCCGAGGGCCUGCAAGGCCUGUACUUGCCCGGCUUCAAGACUAAAGAAAGAGCCUGGAGUCAGCGACAGAGGCAUCAGAGGUUUAAUGGAUAGAGGGAGCUUAGUCAUCUGAUGAAAGGUGACACCCCACCACGUGAGGCAGACAUGUCUGCAGAUUCACUCCCUGGGAGCAAGGGAAAGUUUCCAGUCAGAGGGGGCAUUGACCCCGGAUGGGCUCAUCACUUACGGGGAAACCAGCAGUGGGGGCAUGCCCCUCACCACCCCUCUGACAAGCUGUCAGAGUGGAGAUGUUCUGAUCUAAAAAAGUUAGAACAAUCAUUAGCCUGGAGUAAGUAUGUAGGAAGGUCAGUCAUAGGGUGUAGGAGAAGCAGGCACUGCUGGAGGAGGGGAUGUACAGAGAGCAAGAGAGCAGCCAUCUUGAGUGGCCUGACUCUGCAUAUGAAUAGGACCAUGUGAGGUGAAAAGGGUGCAUCACUUUGAAAGUUUUGCCCAGGCAAGGCAGCACUCCCUAGACUCACGCAAUUUCUGACUUCUACCCUUGGCGUCCCCACACCAAGUUCCCUUGAAAUACUCCCCUCUGUAGGAUACCCUCCCUUGGUGAACUGAUUUAUAUACAGCAGUCUACCACCAACACCUAUCAGGCUAAAUGAAUCUCAUCUUAUAUUUCAAUCACAAUUCUUUUAAAAAUGCUAUUUUGAGAGAUGUGAAAACUCCUCCAGGAAAUUCUGACAUAAAUCAUUAAUAGUUAUGGUAUUUGAAAUUUUAAUUUACACAAUGAAGGUUAUUCUCUGUUUUUGUAUGAAGGCACAGGUAUGCAUAUAAACACAUAAUUGCUGUGACUGAUCUUUGCUGCCCUGAAGCCAAAUCUUCCGGUGUCAUUUGAAUGGAGGAUACCACCAAACCUUGCUCAGUGGAUAUCUUUUUAAAAUGGCAAAAUCAGGACUUGAAUUCAUUUAGACCCUGUGCACAAAUAGCAUAUGAAGAGCAUAGAAUUGCCACCUGCCAUUGCUCAGGAGUAUCCUGGAUCACGUCCCAAACCCCGGGCUUCUCCCUGACAGAUGCUCUGGUUCUAACUGCAGAGUAUCUCUUUAAUCCGUUUCACAAACUCGUCACAUUCAUGUGUUCUUAGGUACCCAUCAAAUAUUGGGAAAUGUACUCAGGCUUGUAUUCCCAGACUUUGUUAUAACCCAAAUCCUUCUAAUUAGAGACAUAGGACUUGUUAAUAAGAACCUCUAUAUUAGAUUUGUCAUUAUUUAAAAAUUAAUAAACUAUUUUAUUAUCUUAGCAGAGAGAAGCUCAUACAAUGAGCAGAAAAUUGCUCACCUUUAUGACUGUUCCAAUUCUUCUAUACCAUGAGAAGCCCUUCUCUCUCUCUCUCUCUCUCCCUCCAUACAGACACAGACACAUAGACACACACACACACACACACACACACACACACAUUUUUUUUUCUAUGAUUCAAUAACAUGGAAGUAGCACUAGUCACCUGUACUAAGCUUGACAGUUCACCACAGAAUAGCUGCAGAAAAUAUAGACAAGUAAGUGCACAGAAUCUCCCAAGAUUAGAGGGGCUAAGGGCAGAGAACCAAUAGCUGGUAGUCCACACCUAGAGCUACUGUCUUCUCAUCCUUGCACAGGUUUGCUACUCAGCAAGUAUCUCCCUUCCUAUAGUGCAACCUUCUUCUAUAAUCUUGACACUUUCCUUCCAGGCAGAAGGAGCUGGGCAUGUAAACAACAUGAUUUUUAUCAGCUAAGCAUUGACUGUAGGUCCCCAAAGCAUCCAAACAAUUUCCUGUAAUUUCCUGUUCCUGUAAAUGCUUUUUAACUGUGACCCAAAUGACAACUGUCCUCCUUUCAUCCUCCUUAAGCUCUUCCUGCUUGAAGAACCUACUCGAUUUCCAUGAGAUAAAUAUCCCAGGCAGAGACUCUAUAAGUACCAGAGUGUACAGAGAGCUGGAUGAGGGCAAGAACGGGUCUGUUUUCUUGCAUUGUUUCAUUAGCAUCUAGUCGAGAUGGUGACUCAUAAAUGCUCCAAGUGCACUCAAGAGAAAAAGAAAUAUACCUUUGGACCCUACACACAUAUGGUCAAGUAAAACCAAUUAUCUCAUUUAUUCAAACAACUAUUACUAUACUUUUCCAAUAAUCUUGAGUAAUUCAGCCAUCUAGAAAGGUAUUCUGAUAUCAGUAAUUCUGCAGAGUUUAUAGUAAGAGGUCUUUUGUUUUUUGGUUGUUGUUUUUUGUUUUUGUUUUUUUUGCUUUCUACAGCCACACCUGUGCCAUAUGGAAGUUCCCAGGCCUACACCACAGCCACAGCAAUGCCAGAUCCCAGCCACAUCUACAAGCUACACUGCACCUUGCAGCAAAUCCUUAACCCACUGAUCGAGGCCAGGGAUCAAACCCACAUCCUCAUGGAUACUAGUCAGGUCCUUAACUCACUAAGCCACAACGGAAACUCCAAGAGUUUUCUUUUUUUUUUAAUAUCUCAUUUUUCCUCCUUUACUUUCUAUAUUGUUAUUCAUUUAAUGUCUAUUGAGUAUUCAGUAUGUGUAAGAAAAGCUGUAUUAGGUGCUGUACAUGCCUCAAGUUUUUAAACUUCCUUAACAGUCCAGUAAAGAUUCUCUCUUUUCUUUGAGCAAAGAUAUUUAAAGACCCCUAAGAAGUAAGUCAAUAAUGUUUACAACGUUUUAAUCUUUUUUAGCUGCCAAAUGCAAAAUAUUCUAAUCUCUGAAAUUUUUUUCUACAACAGAAGAUAAUUUUCCCCAAUUAUAAGAAAUUUUAGAGAUUUUUAGGGGACAGACUUUCUAUCAAGAAAAGUUAUGUUGGAAGUUCCCGUCAUGGCUCAGCGGUUAGCGAACCCUACUAGCAUCCUUGAGCAUGGUUUUGCUCAGUGGGUUAAGGAUCCGGCGUUGCCAUGAGCUGUGGUGUAGGUCGCAGAUGCGCCCCGGAUCCGGAGUUGCUGUGGCUGUGGCUGUGGCCGGCAGCUACAGCUCUGACUGGACCCCUAGCCUGGGAACCUCCAUAUGCCUCAGGUGAGGCCCU
This 5076-nucleotide long non-coding RNA is filed under the name Sus scrofa (pig). RNAcentral describes it as "lncRNA (ENSSSCG00000041153.1, ENSSSCG00130013538.1, ENSSSCG00175014453.1)". Lineage: Eukaryota; Metazoa; Chordata; Mammalia; Artiodactyla; Suidae. The record is from RNAcentral.